RNAcentral lists this long non-coding RNA (361 nucleotides) under Chinchilla lanigera (long-tailed chinchilla). RNAcentral's name for it is "lncRNA (ENSCLAG00000023706.1)". The record is from RNAcentral. Lineage: Eukaryota; Metazoa; Chordata; Mammalia; Rodentia; Chinchillidae.
GCCAUUCUUACUGCCCCAGUCUCACACUGCUCCCUUUGGGUUACCUCUUCUAAGUCCAUCCUACUAGCCUCCUUGUCCUAUCCAUUAAAGAUCCAGCUCUAUAAACUGCACUCGGACUCUUUUUGGAGUUACUCAACGCAGUCCUGCUGGGAACCCCCAAAUACAGGCUGGCUGUGUCCUUUACUUGUUUUCACCAUUUACCUAACAAUGAGAAAGAACUGAAAGUCUGUGGACACUGUGAUUAUGUGACGCCUCAACAUGGAUUACUCCUUCACCAUCUCAGAAUGUGAAUUACUGAUGAGACUACAAGAGUAGUACAGACAGCAUACCCCAUAUAUACCAGCAGUCUGCAAUAAAGUUG